RNAcentral lists this ribosomal RNA (320 nucleotides) under uncultured bacterium. RNAcentral's name for it is "bacterial SSU rRNA". It matches the Rfam family "Bacterial small subunit ribosomal RNA", at positions 29 to 334 of the family's 1533-position model. The record is from RNAcentral.
AAUGAACGCUGGCGGCGUGCCUAACACAUGCAAGUCGAGCGAGAAAGCGGCUUCGGUCGUGGGUAAAGCGGCGAACGGGUGAGUAACACGUGGAUAAUCUGCCUGGAAGUGGGGAACAACUCGAGGAAACUUGAGCUAAUACCGCAUGCGCCCGUACCUCAUAGGGGGUACGUGCAAAGGUGGCCUCUUCUUGAAAGCUACCGCUUCCAGAUGGGUCCGCGUCUGAUUAGCUAGUUGGUGGGGUAAUGGCCUACCAAGGCGACGAUCAGUAGCCGGCCUGAGAGGGCGAUCGGCCACACUGGAACUGAGACACGGUCCAG